Molecule: long non-coding RNA, 1602 nt
Organism: Podarcis raffonei (Aeolian wall lizard)
Lineage: Eukaryota; Metazoa; Chordata; Lepidosauria; Squamata; Lacertidae
Exons: 5
Source: RefSeq, a predicted model, not a curated record
UCCAUUCAGGCGAGCGCGGAGCGCGUGCUCCGUCGAGCACAUGGGCAAGCAAGCCGCCGAGCUCGGAGCGGCAGCGGCCUGCGUUGCUCCCCCCCCCCCGCUCGGCUCUUGAUUUUUUUGCAUUUUAUAUGUGCAUCGGAUUUAUAUUCUAUUUUUUGGAAACACACAUGCACAUCUAAGGAAAGGGGCAGCCGCGGCCGGAAACGGCCAGCAACUUUGCAAAACGCUUCGAGGAUUUGUUUGGGGAGAAAAGGAGACUUGCGUGGCCUGGGGGGAAAAAGAUGCGUGGUCUCCGUCUUGAUUUCUGGAGCGAUCCAAUAGACGCAGCAGCCCCUCCAACAUCUUGUUCCUUUCGUUCAAGGACGCCCAAGGCCGUGGGACUUUCUUGAGCUGCCCAAAGACUCCGGAGAAUGCCAGCUGCGGAUGAAAUAUGUGCGUGGGGAGGGACGAAAGAUUUUGGUUGUUCCUCCUCCCCUCAUUCUGGAUGUUCAUACCGAGAUAACAUUGCCGAAGAUGGAUUAUUUCCCCUGCUAUCAAUGGAAUAUGCAUUUUUUUGUGGUUAUUUUUUUUUAUGUGUGAGGAUGCUGGGGGAAAAGCACCGCCAGUAGUCUGAACAUGAGACUCCCUGCCCUACUGUUUCCCAUUGGGACAAGUGUGCUACCCAGGUGUGGUGGCCAAGGCGAACCUAGCAGCUCCUUCCAUUGAGGAAAGUAUUUCUGAGCCUUGGAGAUGUUCAUCGGUUGUUCCUGAAGACGAGAAGAAUUUUGCAUGGGUGUGCAUCUUCAGGGUUUGGUGGUUGUGGUUGUUUUCUUCAAGAAAAUAUAUUAUUAAUGGUCAUUAUUUGAUAAAAGAAGUGCGCCCCCAAAGGCAUCGCAGUGAGCUGCUGGUUGGAGGCGUCAAAAAGGCAAAGAAGGGAACUCUUGAAAUCCCAUCCAAAGGAGAAAUCGGAAAACUUAUCAAUGGUGGUGAAAGGGAAAGCAGAGAAGUCCGUGUAACAGAAAUGACAGAGGACUCAGAAGCACCUGUGUCAAUUUGGAGGCCCUUGCCAAACCAGCGAGCGAAGAUUAUCCUUGCAGAUCUCUGAGAGGAACAGAACUGGGUGACGGAAUGGCAUCUAUUAGAUAAGUAUUACAAGCCGUUUACUCUGGGGUGAUUCAGGCGGGUAUAAAAUGGUUUUAUUUCUGUUUUAUUUCCAACUUCUGGGUUUCAAAGAAGAAUGUUGUGGGUGCUUCUUAUCUAUGCAGUUAGUGGCUUUCCUCUAUUUUUCUUUGUUUUUCAGUAGCGGGCUACCAACUUCUUCUGCCGAAGUUCGAUUUGAGGAGAUUAGAGGUGGUUGGCAGCAGAAAUACAAUGUUUUAUCCAAUUAAUCGGUUAAAUCAAGCAUUUUCCCACAGUGGAUUCGCAGCUCAGAUGGCAGGGCCCCAUGGUCAGAGAAGAAGGAGCUUCAAAUGUUUCCAUGUCACACCUGCUUGAAAGCAUUUUCCAGCUCUUACAGAACCUCAAUCCAUCUUCUUGAAGCAGCGAGCACAGAAAAAGUAACCAAGACCCAAGAAAAACGAAUGCUGCAGUUAGCUUAACGCUUAAGGUUUUCAAACUGUUUGG